GAUGAAGAACGUAGCGAAAUGCGAUAAGUAAUGUGAAUUGCAGAAUUCAGUGAAUCAUCGAAUCUUUGAACGCACCUUGCGCCCUUUGGCUAUUCCGAAGGGCAUGCCUGUUUGAGUAUCAUGAACACCUCAACUCUCAUGGUUUGCCAUGAUGAGCUUGGACUUUGGGGGUCUUGCCGGCCUAUGGGUCGGCUCCUCUCAAAUUAAUCAGCUUGCCAGUGUUUGGUGGCAUCACAGGUGUGAUAACUAUCUACGCUUGUGGUUUUCCAUCAGGUAACCUUCAGUGAUGGAGGUUCGCUGGGGCUCAUAAAUGUCUCUCCUCAGUGAGGACAGCUUUUUUGAACGUUUGAUCUCAAAUCAGGUAGGACUACCCGCUGAACUUAAGCAUAUCAAUAAGAGGAGGA
Molecule: unclassified non-coding RNA, 404 nt
Filed under: soil metagenome
Description: partial contains 5.8S ribosomal RNA, internal transcribed spacer 2, and large subunit ribosomal RNA
Rfam family: 5.8S ribosomal RNA (bases 1-121)
Source: RNAcentral